AGACGUCUACAUUAGACUACCCGGGUAGUCCCAGCCGUAAACUAUGCGCGUUAGGUGUAUCGGUGACCACGAGUCACCGAGGUGCCGAAGGGAAACCGUGAAACGUGCCGCCUGGGAAGUACGGUCGCAGGGCUGAAACUUAAAGGAAUUGGCGGGGAGCACCACAACGGGUGGAGCCUGCGGUUUAAUUGGACUCAACGCCGGGAAGCUCACCGGAUAAGACAGCGGAAUGAUUGCCGGGCUGAAGACUCUGCAUGACUAGCUG
This 265-nucleotide ribosomal RNA is filed under the name uncultured archaeon. Its description in RNAcentral is "partial 16S ribosomal RNA". It matches the Rfam family "Archaeal small subunit ribosomal RNA", at positions 717 to 982 of the family's 1478-position model. The record is from RNAcentral.